Molecule: unclassified non-coding RNA, 329 nt
Filed under: soil metagenome
Description: partial contains 5.8S ribosomal RNA, internal transcribed spacer 2, and large subunit ribosomal RNA
Rfam family: 5.8S ribosomal RNA (bases 1-120)
Source: RNAcentral
GAUGAAGAACGCAGCGAAAUGCGAUAAGUAAUGUGAAUUGCAGAAUUCAGUGAAUCAUCGAAUCUUUGAACGAACAUUGCGCCCCCUGGUAUUCCGGGGGGCAUGCCUGUCCGAGCGUCAUUACAACCCUCAAGCUCAGCUUGGUAUUGGGCCCCGCCGACCCGGCGGGCCCUAAAGUCAGUGGCGGUGCCGUCCGGCUCCGAGCGUAGUAAUUCUUCUCGCUCUGGAGGUCCGGUCGUGUGCUCGCCAGCAACCCCCAAUUUUUUUCAGGUUGACCUCGGAUCAGGUAGGGAUACCCGCUGAACUUAAGCAUAUCAAUAAGCGGAGGA